AGCAUAUCAGACCAAUGGCGCAGCUCAGUACCCGUGGCAUUGCAGCCUACAAAGAUCUUCCCAAUGGCCUCGUUUUUGCCUAGUUUGUCGUAAUCCAGGACUGUCAGGACAACUUGAACUUUCUAUAGAAAGAAAAAAGAUCUCGCCACUCCUCAAUCACGUGUGCCAGGUCCACAGUGUUCAUGGGGAUACGGAUCUCACCAAUGACAUCAUGCUUGGAGAAACGGUCAAAAUCGUAGAGGGCCAUGACGAGAAUCUUACCACCAAGUUCUGAAUAAGGGACCUAAGUAUUAAAGUGCAUUUCUUAUUUUCUGGAUGAUGUUCGAGCAGCUUCCCUAAGCUGACAGGAACACGAAGAUCAGUCUGCCGCUAUCUAAGCCAAGGCAGGUGUUUGUCUUGCCCACCUGUGUGCUCUGGAAGUCGUAAUCAAGAGAGUACUGGAGUUUCCCUAGCUUCUCCUCUGGCUUCUCCACUUCAGAUUCCUGUAACAACGAUGGAUCUAAAUCCUCAACCUCUGGUUGCACCUGGAAGGAAGUAAAGAAGGAAAUGGUCCAAGUAACCAACAGAAAAUCAUUAAGAACAAGGUGGAUGAAGAACUUCUGCAAGGCCACAUGAUCUGUUCGCCCUUUCUCAUUCUUUAUCUAACUUUCAGUCCUCUAUAUAUGGUGUGUUGAGAUGUCACAUCCCAGAAUUUGAAUGCCAUCCUGCCUGGCAAUUCUGAUGGUUAUAAUCCUUGAAAGGCAUCAAAGAUGAGGAAAAGCUGGUUUACUUUGAUCAGAUAUUAUGUGGGCACUCAUACAAGCAUACAAACUCCACUCAGUGUGAAUUUUCCCUUCCAUCAUACACAAAUCUAUCAGACAAUGCUGAUCUUAACAAAUGGAUGUUAUUCAGUUGCCAAACCCUUCAAUAUUUUAGUGCCUGUUCUCCUGCAUGGAUGACAAGUUUCCUCUAAAUCUGAUGAAAAAAAGAGACUUGGUAUGAGAGUCUUGGGAGCAAGGAGAAAAUUAACUCUGGGACCUGACACGUGGAGGAGGCAAACUAGUAUUCCUGCUAACACUGAUCAAAUGAAUUACUGCAAUUUAUUAAAGGAAUCAGAACAAAUAAAAGAUGGAGGAAGAAUUACAUUGUCACUAGUAGCAUUGCAAAUAAAAUGCCGGAGAGGAUGCUUGGAUAAACAUUUUGCUUCUCUGAUCUCCUCAGAGUCGGCUUGGCUUAACAUAAAUAGAACUUUCUAGAUGCUGGCAUUCUAGUCUUUGACUCUAUGUUUUUCUUCUGUGACAGAAGAAGCUUUUCUGUAGUGUCUAGCAUUCACAAGUUUAACAUCUUACAAUCACUGCCUUCUGGGCAAAAGAAUCCUCAAAAUUGAGCUGUAUUUCCUAUCCUAUGAAUGUCUUUCAACCUCAGCAACUUAUGAUGUGUGGAGAAUUCUGGGAGAUGAAGUCCACACGUCUCGAAACUGCUAGGGUUGAGAAACACUUCUGUCAUAUUAGGCCUGUUUUUUUCCCCUUGUAAAUAUAGAACUCCAGUAAUUACUGGUUUAAGACUGAGAAAAUAUUAUGAAGAAAGCUUAAACAUCUCCUUCUUUUCAGUGGUUUGACCUCUGCAAAAACUCCAACAAUUCAUGUUCCCAGUUCAUCCUUUUGUUUUUACAAAUGGAUCUGCACUCAGAAAAAUCCAUGAGUCAGGCGAUACUACCUGUUAAUGGCAGUUUCCUCUACAAUGUUAUGAUUUCAGUUUUAAGAUGGGGAGAAAGGCCAGAUUUCCAAGCAAAAAGGUGACCAUUCUUCCACCUUGCAUCUUCUUUUUCUUCUUGUGCCAUAUCCGUUAUCAGACGUUGGCGAUCAUGUUGGCGAUCCUGUUUUUAUCAGCAGCCGCACAAAAAAGUGCUGCUGAAUUUUGUCCAAACCAGUCCCUUGCACUGCUUAGUUUUUAUUUCCAGUAAGGCUCAGUUUCCUUCCUUCACAUUGGAUUCUGAAUCCAAUCUGCUUUAUCUCAAGACCACCUCCUUGUGUGACCUCUCACAGAACUCAUGUAAUUGAAACUAUUCUGCUUGAGUCAAGAAUCUGUGCUUGACUCUGUGUUUCCAGAGUUUUCCAGAGGGAAAAGGCUUUGGACAGCCUCUUCUCCUCCUCCUCCUCGCUGGAAUUGUAUUUCUUCAUCUUGCCCCCAAAUUAGGUUAUUGUUUUGUCACUUAUUUCAGCAGUUCCAUAAUGUAAUGAUACCAGCAUUUGAUACCUACUCACCCUAGGUCAGGGGUAGGCAACCUUGGCUCUAUUAUGACUCGUGGACUUCAACUCCCAGAAUUCCUGAGCCCUCCCCCUGCUCACCUUAUCAAUGUAGCUUUUGCCCAACUCCUUCACUUCCUUCAUGUUGAUCUGUGCCUUGACUUUGUCUUUGCCUUUCUUCCCUUUCUUUUUCUUGCCACAGCAUUUUUUAAAAACGCAGAAGCAGCAGCAGAGAAGCAAAAGGCCGGCAACAAUAAGAAUGGUGGCCAAAGCCCAUGGCGGUACUAGAGUGGACACAAAAGGAGAGUAGUGGAAGAUUCUGGAGCAAAGAGAUUGCCUCGUGUUAUAUUACUUACUAGUUAAAUAUGACUUUUCCUAAUUAUCACUAGGAAUAUCUAAUGGACUUUGGCUGAUGUCAGGUUGAUCUUAAUAGGGUCAGACCUGGUUAAUGUAUGGAUUAGUACUGAGGCAAACACAAGCUCAAGAACUGGCAGCUGUGACUUCACAAAGUUGUAUGUAUAAUAACGAUAAUCUAUUUAUUUUAGAUGUCAGUGUAAACAUCUAGCUGACUGCGUGACUAACUGUUAUAAUCAAUAAUAAAUUUAUUAUGAAAUUAUA
Molecule: long non-coding RNA, 2843 nt
Organism: Crotalus tigris (Tiger rattlesnake)
Lineage: Eukaryota; Metazoa; Chordata; Lepidosauria; Squamata; Viperidae
Exons: 3
Source: RefSeq, a predicted model, not a curated record